This 1052-nucleotide long non-coding RNA is filed under the name Anas platyrhynchos platyrhynchos (common mallard). Its description in RNAcentral is "lncRNA (ENSAPLG00000025329.1)". The record is from RNAcentral. Lineage: Eukaryota; Metazoa; Chordata; Aves; Anseriformes; Anatidae.
GGCUUAUCCAAUCAGAUCUUUAAAACUUUCAAAGGUGGAGACUCUCUGGGUAUGUGUUGCUCCUACAUGGCCCCAAAGCCAACUCCUUCAGCAGGCUGAACAAGCUUAGCAAUCUUCUGCCUCUCCUCAAAGAUAUGUGUUCCAGCUCAUUGUGGCAUUCCUGUGGUGUACUUGAUCCAGAAAUGGAUGCUGAAACUUGCACAGGUCUUCCAGACUCCAGAGAUGGACUCUGCAAGAAACACGAUCCUCUUCUAUUUCUUCUUCUCUAGGAGUGGAGUGAUUGUCUUCUGCCCAGUGGAGAGUGGAAACAGCAAUUAUUUAUUUAUUUAUUUAUUUAUUUAUUUAUUUAUUUAUGUGGGAGGAGUGUACGUGUUUCUACGUCACAGUAGAAUGGAAUUUAUAUAAAUGCUUCCAAUUUAUCAGCAAGCAUAUGAGUACCCUGAAAGGCCUAGUUGAUUUAAAUGAUCAGUUUCUCUUUCCCUUUGAUUUGAGGGCUAAUGUCUGUUUUCUAAAUGUCAUAUUGGAUGGUUAUCCACUGUAAUACUGACUCUGAAAAUGCCUAUACUAUAUAUGUAUGGUUGUAACUUUUUAAGUUACAUGAUUAAACUUUAUUUUUACAUUAAUUCUGGCACUUCAGUCUUCUAGUCUGUGUGUUUACAGGCAACCCUGGUCAUAAGGCCCUUGGUACCCAGGAAACAUCACCAUAAAAAGUCAUGUUCAUUGCCUUUCCUGAUGAGGGACAGCAUUGAAGCAGGAUUUGAUUAAAAUACCUAAAGAAAAACUAGUAAUUAUGGCAAGUAAGGAGAUGUCCUCAGAAUUGUUUUGUAACUGGAAGAAGGUAUCAGGGUCUUGGUGAGAACUAUUUCUCUUCCUUACAAAACUUUUCUUAGUAAUGGGUUUCAGGUAAAAUGAAUAAGGAUUCUAGAAUAUGAUUUGCAUUACUCAUUAUUUGCAAGUGAGAAUAUUUAUUUAUUUAUUUAUUUUUCCAGAAGGGACGACAUUACAAAGUGAUGUGGCUUGUGGAAAAAUCUGAAUUUAAAUUAUCUUGCAUU